Long non-coding RNA from Sinocyclocheilus grahami, 1694 nucleotides. NCBI's taxonomy places the organism in Eukaryota, Metazoa, Chordata, Actinopteri, Cypriniformes, Cyprinidae. The record is from Ensembl.
AACAAUGCAUCUUAUUAAAAGCGCUAUAUUAAUGUUUUUGAUUUGUGUGUUGGUGUGUGUCUCAGGGUGUGGGAUAGCCGUACCUGGCAGGUCACUAACACAUUUCCGGCAAAGCAGUAUAUCCAGACACACUGUGACAUCAGCUCCAACUGUUACCACCUGCUGUCGUCCAGCAAUGGCUUUGGUGGUCAGGGUUGUGAAGCCACGCUGUGGGACCUCAGGCAGCCCGGCUGUAAGGUGGCUGAAUACAGAGGACACCUGCAGACCACGGCAUGCUGCGUGUUUGUGCCUCCCCGUCCCGGAUGUCCUGCCCUCGUGGCGUCAUCGUCGUAUGACAGCUCAGUAAAAAUAUGGGAUCAGAACACUGCAGCAUGUUUGUACACGUUAACGCUGGACGGUUCAGGGCCUUUGGUGUCUCUGGCUCCGUGUGACUCCAGCAGUCUCCUGUGUGCCAGUUUUAACACAGGACUGCAUCAGCUGCAUCUAGAUCAGGGAGCAGUGCCCAGCCUCACUGAAGUGGCUCGCUUCUGACGUCCAUCUGGACUGCCUGGAAAAUCAAACUGAUGAGUUCAAAUGAACAAAUUUAAUAACUGGAACUCCUGGAAAUGAGAAUGCACACUGCAUUUCCAAAGUACUGUAUGUGGACACCUUAUAUACUUAUUAAAGAGAUAGGUCAUCCAAAAAUGACAAUUUGCUGAAAAUGUACUCACCUAAAGCCAUCCAAGAUGUAAAUGAGUUUGUUUCUUCAUGGGAACACUCCGCAAUGGAUCCUCUGCAGUGAAUGGGUGCCGUCAAAAUGAGAGCUCAUAAAAACCACUCCAGACCUUCAGUUAAUGUCUUGGGAAGUAAAAAGCUGCGUGUUUGUUUUUAUCAGAUGUUUGGACGGCACCCAUUCACUGCAGAGGAUCCAUUGCUGAGCAAGUGAUGUAAUUCUGAAUUUCUCUAAAUCUGUUAUGAUGAAGAAACAAACUCAUCUACAUCUUGGAUGGCCUGAGGGGAAGUAAAGUUUCAGCAGAUUUUCAUUUUUGGGUGAACUAUUUCUUUAACAGGUUGGCCUAUUGCUAAUAGGAGCAUAAGUUGUCUAAAUGUGUCUAAAUGUUCCAACAUUGUCCACAUAUUUUUGACCAUGUAGUGUAUGAUCGUCUGAAUACACAAACCAUUAAAGGGUGUAAAAACAUAAAUAACUUACCUAAAGAUGAGACUGAGUGGCUAUGAAACUCCCUGCCUGCAGAAAUUAUUUACAAUAUGGCAUUUUCCAAAUAUGGCUUAAUUCAGGGUUAAAAAUAAUCGGAGAUAUGAUGGGUGCUGUUUUUCUCUCUCUCUCUCUCUCUCUCUCUCUCUCUCUCUGUCUGUGUGUCUCUGUGUCUGUGUCUGUGUCUGUGUCUGUGUCUGUGUGUGUGUGUGUGUUACUGUGUAAACUGAUAUAGGCAAUAAAAUGCCGCUCAACUUCUGCUUGGUUGCUGAAUAUGCUUGAAUAAGUUUUUGGAAGCCAGGAGUGUUAAGUACUGGAGUAAUUGUACUUAAAUAUACUGUAUGUUAAUGUAUUAUUUUACAACGUUUAUGCUUCAUUAUACUACUAUUAGUCCCUACAAUUUCAAAAUAUAUAUAUAUAAAAAGGCAUCAUGGUUUAAAACAGUUAAAAAAUUAUCUUAAUAUAGUGUGUGUGUGUGUGUGUGUGUGUGUAUUUUAUAUAU